GGGCCCGCACAAGCGGUGGAGUAUGUGGUUUAAUUCGAUGCAACGCGAAGAACCUUACCAGGGUUUGACAUCCUGCGAAUCUCUUGGAAACAGGAGAGUGCCUUCGGGAACGCAGUGACAGGUGCUGCAUGGUUGUCGUCAGCUCGUGCCGUGAGGUGUCAGGUUAAGUCCUAUAACGAGCGCAACCCCUAUCGUUAGUUGCCAGCAUUUAGUUGGGCACUCUAGAGAGACUGCCGGUGAUAAACCGGAGGAAGGUGUGGAUGACGUCAAGUCAUCAUGCCCCUUACAUCCUGGGCUACACACGUACUACAAUGCUACGGACAAAGGGCAGCAAGUUCGCGAGGACAAGCAAAUCCCAUAAACCGUGGCUCAGUUCAGAUCGUAGGCUGCAACUCGCCUACGUGAAGGCGGAAUCGCUAGUAAUCGC
This 427-nucleotide ribosomal RNA is filed under the name uncultured bacterium. Its description in RNAcentral is "bacterial SSU rRNA". It matches the Rfam family "Bacterial small subunit ribosomal RNA", at positions 917 to 1345 of the family's 1533-position model. The record is from RNAcentral.